UACAUGCAGUUUGUCUUCAAAUAGUAUAAAUCUUUUGCCUUUUUACUAAAGAUUUCCAUGGAGCAGAACAAUUACUUCUUGACAUUAGACCUUUACAGUUUUUAAACACUUGUAGUA
Small nuclear RNA from Cavia porcellus (domestic guinea pig), 117 nucleotides. It matches the Rfam family "U5 spliceosomal RNA". Rfam says of the family: U5 RNA is a component of both types of known spliceosome. The precise function of this molecule is unknown, though it is known that the 5' loop is required for splice site selection and p220 binding, and that both the 3' stem-loop and the Sm site are important for Sm protein binding and cap methylation. The record is from Rfam. NCBI's taxonomy places the organism in Eukaryota, Metazoa, Chordata, Mammalia, Rodentia, Caviidae.